Molecule: long non-coding RNA, 1342 nt
Organism: Mobula hypostoma (lesser devil ray)
Lineage: Eukaryota; Metazoa; Chordata; Chondrichthyes; Myliobatiformes; Myliobatidae
Exons: 3
Source: RefSeq, a predicted model, not a curated record
CUGACUAUUUUUAGUUAACUCGAGGAGUGUUUGAUGUAUGAUUGAAGCACGUGAUGGCACUCGGUAGUUAAAACUUCAAAAGACUCCAGUCACCAGCGGACUUGGACUUGAGGUUCUACUUCUCCAGCGGAUUUGCAGACUCGGCUCCGGCCAACAGGACUCAACUUCCGAUCGACCAUUGGGCCUCGAUCCCUGGACACGCUGAUCAUUGUACACCAGGUCUCGAACUCCGGACUCACUAAUGACAGGACCCUAAACACUAGGCCUCAAACUCUGAUCUCAUCCAUUCUUGAACGCAGGACGUCAUUGGGACUCGUUCCACCUGUCCACGCAUAGGUCCAACUCCGGAACCCUGUAGACAAUUCAGUAGAACAACAUGUAUUGCCCAGUCUUAAUUAUCAUUCAGAAGAUGGUGCUGAGCUGCCUUUCUGAUGUGCUGUCAUCCUGCAUUUGUGUUAAUACUUAUAAUCAUGACAGCAAUUAUCAAGGACACUGUUAUGUAAGCAAUGCCUUGUCACAAUGUAGUUCUGGCCUUUUCUGCAUCAGUGAGACCUGAGGUAGAUUGGUGGACUGCUUUGGUGAGCACCUUUGCUUCGUCCACUACAAAAGGUGCUGCCUGACCUGCUGAGUGUUCCCUACAUUUGCUGCUCUUAAUUCCACUACAUUAGUUAACUUAUUCUGUCUUCCUGCACAGUUUAUGUGUUCGCUUAGAGAAAAAUAACAAGUUAAGUACACCAGAGUGGAUAUGGGAGUUUUUAUAGCCUAGAGAUUCCUUUGCGCAACACCCUAGCACUCUUUUUUAAAGUGUCAGAAAGAACUAUCUUCAUUUGCAAAGUUUGCAAAGUACAGGAGUGAGAUAGAUUGGCUAGUUAAGCUUGUCGCAACAACCUUGCACUAAUAUCACUAAGAGUAAGGAAUCGAUUGUGGAGUUCAGAAAGGGGAAGUCGAGGGAACACACACCAGUCCUCAUCGGGGGAUCAGCAGUGGAAAGGGUGAGCAGUUUCAAGUUCCUGGGUGUCAACGUCUCUGAAGGUCUAUCCUGGGCCCAACAUAUUGGUGCAUUUAUGAAAAAGACAUGCCAGUGGCUACAUUUUGUUCGGGGUCUGAGGAGAUUUGACAUGUCAGCAACGAUUCUAGCAAAUUUCUAAGAUGUACCAUGGAGAGCAUUCUAACCGGUGGCAUCACUGUCUGGCGUGGAGGGACCGCUGCGCAGGAUCAGUAAGAGCUGCAGAGGUUGUAAACUCAGCCAGCUCCAUCAUGGGCACUAGCCUCCCCAGCAUCGAGGACAUCUUCAUAGGGCAAUGCCUCAAAAAGGCAAUAUCUAUGGUUAAGGACCCUCACC